This 301-nucleotide ribosomal RNA is filed under the name uncultured bacterium. Its description in RNAcentral is "partial 16S ribosomal RNA". It matches the Rfam family "Bacterial small subunit ribosomal RNA", at positions 509 to 807 of the family's 1533-position model. The record is from RNAcentral.
CAGUAGCCGCGGGAAAACAGAGGGUGCAAGCGUUAAUCGGAAUUACUGGGCGUAAAGCGCGCGUAGGUGGUUUGUUAAGUUGGAUGUGAAAGCCCCGGGCUCAACCUGGGAACUGCAUCCAAAACUGGCAAGCUAGAGUACGGUAGAGGGUGGUGGAAUUUCCUGUGUAGCGGUGAAAUGCGUAGAUAUAGGAAGGAACACCAGUGGCGAAGGCGACCACCUGGACUGAUACUGACACUGAGGUGCGAAAGCGUGGGGAGCAAACAGGAUUAGAGACCCCAGUAGUCCCUGUCUCUUAUAC